AUUAGGGUUCGAUUCCGGAGAGGGAGCCUGAGAAACGGCUACCACAUCUAAGGAAGGCAGCAGGCGCGUAAAUUACCCAAUCCUAAUUCAGGGAGGUAGUGACAAGAAAUAACGGGUCGGGGUUCAUCCCCGGGACUGAAAUGAGAUGAAUUUACACCCCUUUUCGAGGAACAAUUGGAGGGCAAGUCUGGUGCCAGCAGCCGCGGUAAUUCCAGCUCCAAUAGCGUAUAUUAAAGUUGUUGCAGUUAAAAAGCUCGUAGUUGGAUUUCUGGUAGGAUUUCGAAGCCCGCUUGUUGCGUGUGCUGAGAAACCCUGCCAUCCUUCUGUUAACUCUUCACGGUAUUCAUUUACCGGUUGAGGGCUCAGAUAUUUUACCUUGAGAAAAUCAGAGCGUUUCAGGCAGGCUUGCGCCGGAAUGCAUUAGCAUGGAAUAAUAGAAUAGGACUUUAGUCUCCUUUGUUGGUUUGAGGGACUGAAGUAAUGAUUAAUAGGGAUAGUUGGGGGCAUUAGUAUUUAAUUGUCAGAGGUGAAAUUCUCGGAUUUGUUAAAGACUAACUUAUGCGAAAGCAUUUGCCAAGGAUGUUUUCA
This 588-nucleotide ribosomal RNA is filed under the name uncultured ciliate. RNAcentral describes it as "SSU rRNA". It matches the Rfam family "Eukaryotic small subunit ribosomal RNA", at positions 369 to 972 of the family's 1831-position model. The record is from RNAcentral. Lineage: Eukaryota; Ciliophora.